GAUCAUGGCUCAGGAUGAACGCUAGCGACAGGCUUAACACAUGCAAGUCGAGGGGCAGCGAGGGAGUGGCAACACUUCUGUCGGCGACCGGCGCACGGGUGAGUAACGCGUAUGCAACCUGCCCUUCACAGGGGGAUAACCGGGAGAAAUUCCGACUAAUACCGCAUACGUCCUCAGGGGGCGAUCCCCUCGGGGAUGAAAGAAUUAUCGGUGAAGGAUGGGCAUGCGUGAUAUUAGGUAG
This 241-nucleotide ribosomal RNA is filed under the name uncultured bacterium. Its description in RNAcentral is "partial 16S ribosomal RNA". It matches the Rfam family "Bacterial small subunit ribosomal RNA", at positions 15 to 248 of the family's 1533-position model. The record is from RNAcentral.